AGAGUUUGAUCAUGGCUCAGGAUGAACGCUGGCGGCGUGCCUAAUACAUGCAAGUCGAGCGGUAACACUUCGGGUGACGAGCGGCGGACGGCAGAGUAACGCGUAGGAACGUACCCCAAAGUGAGGAAUAACAGCCCGAAAGGGUAGCUAAUGCCGCAUAACAUCUUAUGAUUAAAGCUACGGCGCUUUGGGAACGGCCUGCGUAUGAUUAGCUAGUUGGUGAGGUAAAAGCCCACCAAGGCGACGAUCAUUAGCUGGUCUGAGAGGAUGAUCAGCCUGACUGGAACUGAGACACGGUCCAGACUCCUACGGGAGGCAGCAGUAGGGAAUUUUCCGCAAUGGGCGAAAGCCUGACGGAGCAACGCCGCGUGCAGGAUGAAGGCUUUCGGGUCGUAAACUGCUUUUCUCUGUGACGAUUUUGACGGUAGCAGAGGAAUAAGGAUCGGCUAACUACGUGCCAGCAGCCGCGGUCAUACGUAGGAUCCGAGCGUUAUCCGGAAUUACUGGGCGUAAAGAGUUGCGUAGGUGGCUUGUUAAGCAGGGUAUGAAAGCGUGUGGCUCAACCAUACAGCUAUACUCUGAACUGGCAAGCUAGAAUAUAGGAGAGGUAGCUGGAAUUCCCAGUGUAGGAGUGAAAUCCGUAGAUAUUGGGAGGAACACCGAUGGCGUAGGCAGGCUACUGGCCUAUUAUUGACACUAAGGCACGAAAGCGUGGGGAGCGACCGGGAUUAGAUACCCCGUUAGUCCACGCCGUAAACGAUGGAUGCUAGCUGUUAUGAGUAUCGACCCUCGUAGUAGCAAAGCUAACGCGUUAAGCAUCCCGCCUGUGGAGUACGAGCGCAAGCUUAAAACAUAAAGGAAUUGACGGGGACCCGCACAAGCGGUGGAGCGUGUUCUUUAAUUCGAAGGUAAACGAAGAACCUUACCAGGGUUUGACAUCCUGAUAGCCGUUUGCCGAAAGGCAAAUUUCAUUUAGUUGGAUCAGUGACAGGUGAUGCAUGGCCGUCGUCAGCUCGUGUCGUGAGAUGUUUGGUUAAGUCCAUCAACGAGCGCAACCCUUAUACUUAGUUGGAUUUUUCUAGGUAGACUGCCCCGGUAACGGGGAGGAAGGGGGGGAUGAUGUCAGGUCAGUAUUUCCCUUACAUCCUGGGCUAGAAACACGCUACAAUGGCCGGUACAAAGGGCUGCCAAGUCGCAAGACGGAGCAAAUCCUAUCAAAGCCGGUCUCAGUUCGGAUAGCAGGCUGAAACCCGCCUGCUUGAAGCCGGAAUCGCUAGUAACGGUAGGUCAGCUAUACUACCGUGAAUACGUUCCCGGGUCUUGUACACACCGCCCGUCAAACCAUGAAAGUCGCCAAUACCUGACGUCUAGUUUUACACUGGCCUAAGGUAGGGGAGAUGAUUGGGGUUAAGUCGUAACAAGGUAGCC
This 1428-nucleotide ribosomal RNA is filed under the name uncultured bacterium. RNAcentral's name for it is "bacterial SSU rRNA". It matches the Rfam family "Bacterial small subunit ribosomal RNA". The record is from RNAcentral.